AAGGAUGAGCAGGCUCUCUGCCAUCUGCCCACCAACUUUUCAAGUUACUUUUACCCACCUUCAAAAUUACAUCUGCUUUUAGCAAGAAUUACUGAUGUGAUAAAGAUGGGAGUGUUCACCAUGCAAGGGCAGGGGAUCCCCUGCUGCUCCACCAUCAGAUUUGGGACACCACCCCCCCCCCGGCCCCACCAGAGGGCAUCAGCUAUGCCUAGCAAUUACGCCCCCGUGGCUAAAUUAAACUCCCAUUGGCUAAAUUAGGCUCGAAGAGAGGGGCACCUGCUGCUAAGCUGUGUAUGUUGUCCCCUAGGACUCCCACCGUUUGCUGAGCUCCACAUGACAACAGCAGACGACAGGCCGCACUGAUCCCACCUGGCUUACAGGUGCUGUCACACAGGACUGCUGACUAAACACUUUCAAGCACAGUGGACCCUUGAACAACGCAGGUUCAAACUGUGCAGGUCCACCCACAGGGAUGUUUUUCAAUCAGAGUUAUACCAAGUGUCCCUGCCUCUCCUGCCUCCCUUCCCACUUCCUCCAUGUCUUCCUCUCUGCCACCCUGAGGCAGCAAGACCAGCCCCUCCUCCUCAGCCACUCAACAUGAAGACAACGAGGAUGAAGACUUCUAUGAUAAUCCACUUCCACUUAGUAAAUGCUUUCUCUUAUGAUAUUCUUAAUGACAUUUUAUUUUCCCAAGCUUAGUUUAUUGUAAGAAUACAGUAUAAAUACACAUACAAA
This 735-nucleotide long non-coding RNA is filed under the name Homo sapiens (human). Its description in RNAcentral is "PREDICTED lncRNA (TCONS_00087459)". Lineage: Eukaryota; Metazoa; Chordata; Mammalia; Primates; Hominidae. The record is from RNAcentral.